Molecule: long non-coding RNA, 2273 nt
Organism: Armigeres subalbatus
Lineage: Eukaryota; Metazoa; Arthropoda; Insecta; Diptera; Culicidae
Exons: 5
Source: RefSeq, a predicted model, not a curated record
UACCAAUAUUUGGAUGAAAAAAGUGACUUUCACUUUUCAGUCAGUCAGCUCAGUUAUUUAUUAAGUUUCACAAUAUUCGGUCGCAUGAAAAACGACAACGUUUGCCGUAUCCAUAUGAGAUUGGUUAUACCGAUUAUGCCGGUUAUGUAAUUACCUGUUCCGUAAGUUCUGGAUAUUGGAUCUGCUAUGAUGACGAAAUACCAUACAAGAAGGCAGAAGUGGACCACUUCACGCGAUUUUCUGGGGCUAAUGUCGGAUCAACUGGAUGAUGGAAUACAUACGAAAAUGCCGGGAAAACCUCCAUUUCAGCAGUAUGGCAGACAGCCGAAGCAAGGGCAGGGACCGGUGGUCAAGUUCAGCAAGCAACCUGCGCCCAGCAUGUGGUCUCGACCCCAGCCAGAGUCAGCAGCAAAUUGUGAAGGUCAUAGUCGCAAGCCCUUCAAAUCAGAACAUUAUCACCUAGCAACAUCAUCCAAACAGGCAGUACAAGUGCAAUCAGUCGGGCAGAAGGUCUCAGUUGCUACGGUUAGUACUAGUUAGUUGCGCAGCCAGCAUCUAUUGCCGCUGGUGGACAAAUCGUGCUGGGUAAGACCAGUGUCGGACGGUUCAUUCCGGUGUCAGUGUCACAACAGGCCAACCAACGACAGACCGUUCAAGUUGUGACCGCAACUUCGGCUGCACAAGCAAAUGCAGCUGGCAAUAUCCGAGCCCAUGUUCCUACUCAGAACAUCGGGAACAUUAAGGUGGCCGCCGGAGCUACUUCAGCUCAGCAGCAGCAGGCUAUUCUGACUGAAUUUUAAAAUCAGCAGCGCUAAACUGCAAGCCAGGGGGGAAGACACUUGAAUCAAUGUUUGAAUCAUUCAAAAGAUUAAAAAAAAAAUCGAAAAGAUUCAGAAUGAUUCGGCGGGAUGAAUCUUUUUUAUAUAUUUUUUUCGCCUUAAGGAUGUUUUUUUUCAGUGUGGCGAGACUUUUGAAUAAAAAAACAAACAUAAACAAUGUGCCGCAGAUGCCGUUCUAGCUCUGGAAGUUCCGUCGGCUGCCAGGGCAGGACAAUUAAUUCGCUUCUGGAAGAGUACGACACAAAAGUCCUGCGUCAGGAUGGUCCGAUCAUCAGUGGAAAGUUUGAAUGAUGUUCCGGAAUUGGUGACCUCUACCGCAAAAUGUCAUCCAACCCGUACGACUUGACCGUGGAAUACAAAUUUCCAGCAGAGCCAUAUGAAUUUUCUUGCUGGUCUACAGGUGGCGGCCGACAGUGAUUUAAUAGCAACAGGUCAACAUUAUUCAUCGGUCAAUCCGGUUACCUUUGCGGCACACUGAUCAAACCAGAUUUGUUAUUCGAUGGAAUCUGGAAGCGAAAAAUUAUCUUGAACGAUGUAAAAUGUGGAGAUUAUGCAGCGUGAAAUAAAAAUGGUCCUAUAUCGAAGCCCACCUUUCCGGAGAAGGUUUCACGGCUGUAUCGAACUACGACGCUUGACACUGUUUUUUUUUAUAUCAGCCUGAAUGCCACUUUCAACCGGGAAUAACCUCUUUCAUCGCCCCAUUGAGUGUCCUAACUUCCAAACCUGCCCCUUACAAUGCUUCAUCCUCGGCCACCUAGUCACACCGUUCACACCGCUUGUGCUGUCUCCUCCGGUCUUAAGCGAUUCGAAGUCAUCAUCAAGUCAUCAAUACAUAAAAGUUUCUCAUUGAACAGCAUCUAUAAUCAGCUUUAUGGCAUAGAUCUAUCGGUCGCAGCCACGCGAGUUCCGAUCACCUCGAUCGCGAUACAAAAGAUCGCCCCUUUCUGGCCAAUAACAAUCAGUUUAAAGAUUAACACCUCGACCAAGAAGCAGUGGAAAUUACUGUUGAAUCAAAAGUCAAUCAAGUACACGAGUUCUGGUUAAGAGUUGAAGAAAUGUUGAUCAAUAGCUGAAGAAGGAAAAUCGGAUUCCAGGCACUGGUAUAUUAUGGGUUUACUAUCAAAGAAAGUCCGAAUUAGUCAAAUUAGUCCGAAUGUGUCCAGUAAUGAUUUUGGAAGGAUAGCGAAAGUUCAACAGAAGAUAUGAAAUCAGGUGGAAAUUAUCAACAGACAGCGUUCUAUGCUGCCGUAUCCAGACUGACCAGACCAGACAAACAUUAGCUUGAUUCCGUUGCUAAUCUACAAGGUCUCAAUGUAGUGCAAAUCGAUCGUUCGGAAGAACCCUCAGUAGACUGCGUUACUGGUGACGUAGUGAUGGACCGUACUGAAUAGUGACGACUGUUGACGACUGAAUAAAUAAAUAAAUUUAAUUUGA